This 467-nucleotide ribosomal RNA is filed under the name uncultured bacterium. RNAcentral's name for it is "bacterial SSU rRNA". It matches the Rfam family "Bacterial small subunit ribosomal RNA", at positions 8 to 507 of the family's 1533-position model. The record is from RNAcentral.
AGAGUUUGAUCAUGGCUCAGGAUGAACGCUGGCGGCGUGCCUAAUACAUGCAAGUCGAGCGGCAGCACGGUCUUCGGACUGGUGGCGAGCGGCGGACGGCUGAGUAACGCGUAGGAAUAUACCCCAAAGUGAGGGAUAACUGCCCGAAAGGGUGGCUAAUACCGCAUGUGGUCUUCGGACUAAAGCCUUCGGGCGCUUUGGGAAUAGCCUGCGUAAGAUUAGCUAGUUGGCGAGGUAAUGGCUCACCAAGGCGACGAUCUUUAGCUGGUCUGAGAGGAUGACCAGCCAGACUGGAACUGAGACACGGUCCAGACUCCUACGGGAGGCAGCAGUAGGGAAUUUUCCACAAUGGGCGAAAGCCUGAUGGAGCAACGCCGCGUGCAGGAUGAAGGCCCUCGGGUCGUAAACUGCUUUUAUGUGCGAAGAAUAUGACGGUAACACAUGAAUAAGGGUCGGCUAACUACGUG